CAGUCUAGUCUGUGGCCACGUGCCUGUUCCUUCAUAAAGAAGAGCUUUAAGAGUAUUAUUCAUGGCAGACGAGGAGCCAAAGCUCAGCAAGAAUGCUUUGAAGAGAAACCUCAAAGCUGAGAA
Molecule: long non-coding RNA, 123 nt
Filed under: Amphimedon queenslandica
Lineage: Eukaryota; Metazoa; Porifera; Demospongiae; Haplosclerida; Niphatidae
Description: uncharacterized LOC109591794, transcript variant X2
Source: RNAcentral